Molecule: non-coding RNA, 100 nt
Filed under: Symbiodinium sp. clade D
Lineage: Eukaryota; Dinophyceae; Suessiales; Symbiodiniaceae
Source: RNAcentral
UCCCAAGGACACAAAAAAACACAAAACAUCAAAAAACAUUGCAAAAAAACACAAACAUACAAAAAAUGCAUGCUUGCUUCUUCUUUGCCCCUCCUAUUUG